AGAGUUUGAUCCUGGCUCAGGAUGAACGCUAGCUACAGGCUUAACACAUGCAAGUCGAGGGGCAGCAUGUUGGCUGCUUGCAACCAAUGAUGGCGACCGGCGCACGGGUGAGUAACGCGUAUCCAACCUACCCUUGUCCAUCGGAUAACCCGUCGAAAGGCGGCCUAACACGAUAUGCGGUUCUCAGCAGGCAUCUAACGAGAACGAAAUGUGAAGGAGAAGGAUGGGGAUGCGUCUGAUUAGCUUGGUUGGCGGGGUAACGGCCACAAGGCGACGAUCGAGUAGGGGUUCUGGAGAGGAAGGUCCCCCANAUUGGAACUGAGACACGGUCCAAACUCCUACGGGAGCA
Molecule: ribosomal RNA, 349 nt
Filed under: uncultured bacterium
Lineage: Bacteria
Description: bacterial SSU rRNA
Rfam family: Bacterial small subunit ribosomal RNA
Source: RNAcentral